CAACCCUCGAACCCCUCCGGGGGGUCGGCGUUGGGGAUCGGCACUUAACCUGCCGGCCCCGAAAUGCAGUGGCGGUCCCGCCGCAGCCUCUCAUGCGCAGUAGUUUGCACACUCGCACCGGGAGCGCGGCGCGUCCACGUCCGUAAAACACCCAACUUUCUGAAA
This 165-nucleotide unclassified non-coding RNA is filed under the name Trichoderma albolutescens. Its description in RNAcentral is "partial internal transcribed spacer 2". RNAcentral also lists the same sequence under 1 other name. The record is from RNAcentral. Lineage: Eukaryota; Fungi; Ascomycota; Sordariomycetes; Hypocreales; Hypocreaceae.